Molecule: unclassified non-coding RNA, 248 nt
Filed under: Paraglomerales sp.
Lineage: Eukaryota; Fungi; Glomeromycota; Glomeromycetes; Paraglomerales
Description: partial contains 5.8S ribosomal RNA and internal transcribed spacer 2
Rfam family: 5.8S ribosomal RNA (bases 1-65)
Source: RNAcentral
GUGAAUCAUCAAAUUUUUGAACGCAAAUUGCGCUUUUUUCGGAAGGCAUGUCUGUUUGAGGGCACCAUUUAACAAAUAAUGUGCAUUUUGUGUGCACACGUUGAUGAGCUUUCCACAAUUAUGUAUUAUUAUUUUUGGUGGCGCAUAAUUAAACAGCGCGAUGCUUUUUUUCAGUUCGAGUGUAGUAAAAUUUUUUCUUGCUUGGGUUGUGAAAAGCGUGAUCGCGCAAAUGGUUUUGAUGUGUCUAU